CAGGCCUAACACAUGCAAGUCGAACGGGGUAGCAAUACCUAGUGGCGCACGGGUGAGUAACGCGUGGAUAAUCUGCCUUGGAGUGGGGGAUAACUAGUCGAAAGAUUAGCUAAUACCGCAUAAGACCACAGGAGCUGCGGCUCUAGGGGUCAAAGGUUUUUCGUUCCAAGAUGAGUCCGCGUAAGAUUAGCUAGUUGGUGAGGUAAUGGCUCACCAAGGCGACGAUCUUUAACUGGUCUGAGAGGAUGAUCAGUCACACUGGAACUGAGACACGGUCCAGACUCCUACGGGAGGCAGCAGUAGGGAAUAUUGCACAAUGGAGGAAACUCUGAUGCAGCGACGCCGCGUGAGUGAUGAAGGCCUUCGGGUCGUAAAGCUCUGUCGCAGGGGAAUAACACAAUGAAUGUACCCUGUAAGAAAGGAUCGGCUAACUUCGUGCCAGCAGCCGCGGUAAGACGAGGGAUCCUAGCGUUGUUCGGAAUUAUUGGGCGUAAAGCGGAUGUAGGUGGCUUUGUAAGUCAGAUGUGAAAGCCCAGGGCUCAACCCUGGAAGUGCAUUUGAUACUGCGAAGCUUGAGUGUCGGAGAGGUUACUAGAAUUGUUGGUGUAGUGGUGAAAUACGUAGAUAUCAACAGGAAUACCGGAGGCGAAGGCGGGUAACUGGCCGAACACUGACACUGAGAUCCGAAAGCGUGGGGAUCAAACAGGAUUAGAUACCCUGGU
This 722-nucleotide ribosomal RNA is filed under the name Bdellovibrio sp. YJBL. RNAcentral describes it as "bacterial SSU rRNA". It matches the Rfam family "Bacterial small subunit ribosomal RNA", at positions 43 to 791 of the family's 1533-position model. Lineage: Bacteria; Pseudomonadati; Bdellovibrionota; Bdellovibrionia; Bdellovibrionales; Pseudobdellovibrionaceae. The record is from RNAcentral.